UACGUAGGCAGCAAGCGUUGUUCGGAGUUACUGGGCGUAAAGGGUGCGUAGGCGGUUGUUUAAGUUUGGUGUGAAAUCUCCCGCUCAACUGGGAGGGUGCGCCGAAUACUGAAUGACUAGAGUGCGGGAGAGGAGAGUGGAAUUCCUGGUGUAGCGGUGAAAUGCGUAGAUAUCGGAAGGAACAUCAGUGGCGAAAAGCGGCUUCCUGGACCAGAACUGACGAUCAGGCACGAAAAGCGUGGGGAGCAAACAGGG
This 255-nucleotide ribosomal RNA is filed under the name uncultured bacterium. RNAcentral's name for it is "partial 16S ribosomal RNA". It matches the Rfam family "Bacterial small subunit ribosomal RNA", at positions 524 to 777 of the family's 1533-position model. The record is from RNAcentral.